RNAcentral lists this ribosomal RNA (346 nucleotides) under Salmonella enterica. RNAcentral describes it as "partial 23S ribosomal RNA". It matches the Rfam family "Bacterial large subunit ribosomal RNA", at positions 2458 to 2803 of the family's 2925-position model. The record is from RNAcentral. Lineage: Bacteria; Pseudomonadati; Pseudomonadota; Gammaproteobacteria; Enterobacterales; Enterobacteriaceae.
AAAAGGUACUCCGGGGAUAACAGGCUGAUACCGCCCAAGAGUUCAUAUCGACGGCGGUGUUUGGCACCUCGAUGUCGGCUCAUCACAUCCUGGGGCUGAAGUAGGUCCCAAGGGUAUGGCUGUUCGCCAUUUAAAGUGGUACGCGAGCUGGGUUUAGAACGUCGUGAGACAGUUCGGUCCCUAUCUGCCGUGGGCGCUGGAGAACUGAGGGGGGCUGCUCCUAGUACGAGAGGACCGGAGUGGACGCAUCACUGGUGUUCGGGUUGUCAUGCCAAUGGCACUGCCCGGUAGCUAAAUGCGGAAGAGAUAAGUGCUGAAAGCAUCUAAGCACGAAACUUGCCCCGAG